Oxyura jamaicensis (ruddy duck) is the source of this 523-nucleotide long non-coding RNA. RefSeq lists it as uncharacterized. Lineage: Eukaryota; Metazoa; Chordata; Aves; Anseriformes; Anatidae. The transcript has 5 exons. The record is from RefSeq and is a predicted model, not a curated record.
UUCAUUUACAAAGAGCACUGGGGGAAAAACAGAGCUGCAAAAUACCAAAAGAUGUUUUCCACAGAACAAACAGAGGAAAAUAUAUUGGAGUCAUCUUCAGCAGAAGACUCUUGCUGUGUUAUGAAACUUUCUACCGGCCUACAGCACAGCUUCUUCUCAGCUCUGAUAAAUCCAGCCUGACCUCCAGCUCCCACAUCUUGCACUGUAGAUUUUGGCAAUGUUCACCUUGAGCUGCUCCAGGUGCCCGGGGGUCUUGUGCACCACAGAAGGCGACCCAGAGAUUCCAUGGAGAACGCGGAGGGAAUAGAUCUGCAUUCAUUGACAAUGGUGAGAUGAAAGGUUAUUCUCGCGUCACAGAGUUUUUUGAGAUCCCUCUUACAUCUCAGCAAGCAUUAUUCAUGAGACUACAAAGCUCUUCUCUGCCAUGUGCAUUCAUUCAUGUUCAAAGCUUGCAAAGGAAUGCUACUUGGUUUCAUGUUCAAGGAAACACUGCCAUAGGAUCAUUUGCUUUUUGUAAUAAAAA